CCACAGAAUGCCUAAGGGUUCCUGAGGAAGGCUCGUCCGCUCAGGGUUAGUCGGGACCUAAGCCGAGGCCGAAAGGCGUAGGCGAUGGACAACAGGUUGAUAUUCCUGUACCACCUCCUCACCAUUUGAGCAAUGGGGGGUCGCAGGAGGAUAGGGUAAGCGCGGUAUUGGAUAUCCGCGUCCAAGCAGUUAGGCUGGGAAAUAGGCAAAUCCGUUUCCCAUAAGGCUGAGCUGUGAUGGCGAGCGAAAUAUAGUAGCGAAGUUCCUGAUUCCACACUGCCAAGAAAAGCCUCUAGCGAGGUGAGAGGUGCCCGUACCGCAAACCGCCACAGGUAGGCGAGGAGAGAAUCCUAAGGUGAUCGAGAGAACUCUCGUUAAGGAACUCGGCAAAAUGACCCCGUAACUUCGGGAGAAGGGGUGCUCUGUUAGGGUGCAAGCCCGAGAGAGCCGCAGUGAAUAGGCCCAGGCGACUGUUUAGCAAAAACACAGGUCUCUGCGAAGCCGUAAGGCGAAGUAUAGGGGCUGACGCCUGCCCGGUGCUGGAAGGUUAAGAGGAGCGCUUAGCGUAAGCGAAGGUGCGAAUUGAAGCCCCAGUAAACGGCGGCCGUAACUAUAACGGUCCUAAGGUAGCGAAAUUCCUUGUCGGGUAAGUUCCGACCCGCACGAAAGGCGCAACGAUCUGGGCGCUGUCUCAACGAGAGACUCGGUGAAAUUAUAGUACCUGUGAAGAUGCAGGUUACCCGCGACAGGACGGAAAGACCCCGUGGAGCUUUACUGCAGCCUGAUAUUGAAUGUUGGUACAGCUUGUACAGGAUAGGUAGGAGCCUUGGAAACCGGAGCGCCAGCUUCGGUGGAGGCAUCGGUGGGAUACUACCCUGGCUGUAUUGACCUUCUAACCCCCCGCCCUUAUCGGGCGGGGAGACAGUGUCAGGUGGGCAGUUUGACUGGGGCGGUCGCCUCCUAAAAGGUAACGGAGGCGCCCAAAGGUUCCCUCAGAAUGGUUGGAAAUCAUUCGCAGAGUGUAAAGGCACAAGGGAGCUUGACUGCGAGACCUACAAGUCGAGCAGGGACGAAAGUCGGGCUUAGUGAUCCGGUGGUUCCGCAUGGAAGGGCCAUCGCUCAACGGAUAAAAGCUACCCCGGGGAUAACAGGCUUAUCUCCCCCAAGAGCUCCACAUCGACGGGGAGGUUUGGCACCUCGAUGUCGGCUCAUCGCAUCCUGGGGCUGUAGUCGGUCCCAAGGGUUGGGCUGUUCGCCCAUUAAAGCGGUACGCGAGCUGGGUUCAGAACGUCGUGAGACAGUUCGGUCCCUAUCCGUCGCGGGCGCUGGAAAUUUGAGAGGAGCUGUCCUUAGUACGAGAGGACCGGGAUGGACGCACCGCUGGUGUACCAGUUGUUCUGCCAAGGGCAUCGCUGGGUAGCUAUGUGCGGACGGGAUAAGUGCUGAAAGCAUCUAAGCAUGAAGCCCCCCUCAAGAUGAGAUUUCCCAUUCCGCAAGGAAGUAAGAUCCCUGAAAGAUGAUCAGGUUGAUAGGUCUGAGGUGGAAGUGUGGCAACACAUGGAGCUGACAGAUACUAAUCGAUCGAGGACUUAACC
RNAcentral lists this ribosomal RNA (1595 nucleotides) under Bacillus subtilis subsp. subtilis str. JH642. Its description in RNAcentral is "bacterial LSU rRNA". It matches the Rfam family "Bacterial large subunit ribosomal RNA", at positions 1334 to 2925 of the family's 2925-position model. Lineage: Bacteria; Bacillati; Bacillota; Bacilli; Caryophanales; Bacillaceae. The record is from RNAcentral.